AAACGCUUGAAGUCAGUCGCAUUGCAUGGGAAUCAACCUUGCUUUUGCUGGGUGUAUUUUCCAUGUGGUGGGUCAGCAUCAAUUUUGACCGUUGGAUAAAGGUCAGGGGAAUGUGGCAUCUUCGGAUGUGUUAUAGCCCUUGGUUGUAUACAACGAUUGGGAUUGAGGAACUCAGCACGCCGAAAGGCCGGGUCUUGUACCACGUUCGUGCUUAGGAUGCUGGCAUAAUGGCUUUAAUCGA
This 241-nucleotide ribosomal RNA is filed under the name Hypholoma sp. Its description in RNAcentral is "partial large subunit ribosomal RNA". The record is from RNAcentral. Lineage: Eukaryota; Fungi; Basidiomycota; Agaricomycetes; Agaricales; Strophariaceae.